RNAcentral lists this long non-coding RNA (1332 nucleotides) under Ananas comosus (pineapple). RNAcentral describes it as "long non-coding RNA (ACOM_LNC018279)". Lineage: Eukaryota; Viridiplantae; Streptophyta; Magnoliopsida; Poales; Bromeliaceae. The record is from RNAcentral.
UCCAAAUCAACAACAGCAACAGCCGCAGACGAAGGCUCUGCAAAAAAAGGUAAACAACUAGAUGUGAGAACUACUACAAAAAAUAGUUCUUGGUGGAUACCGCUACCGACCUCAACGGUUUACCUACUAAGUCUACAGAAGGUAUGUAAAAGGAUAGUAAAGGAAGCUAGUAACCUCUACAGCUAUAUGCCACUAUACUAUCGCCAAUCAACACUAGCUAUCUGUAGAUAUAACAAGAUGCAACCUCUAACCAAAUCUCACUAGGGACUGUGAGCGCACCCAUCCCGCCCGUCGAAGCUACACCAACCACCACCACGCUGGGUAGUUGGUGGAGAGCAAGUCCAACCAGGACACUACAACAACAACGCAAAAGCACUAAGUCCGACUCCGGAGUGGCACUCGUGGGCGCUACCAAACCGAGUAUGCAAGCGUGUCUCUGCCGAGCUCAAUCAGGCUCUCACAGGCUAUAAUCAAAACAAAUGGGUCUAACUGGUCUGACAACCAAAACUCACGUGCCCUCGGCACAAUCUGAUAUAGAUACAGAAAUCUGGGUCCAUCGUCCACCGCGACGGCACCCGACAGUUCGAAACAAUCUACACACUACUGUAAAAAUAAACUCGGCAUUCCAGCACGAGCGUAAACUCAUCCUACACUAAUCUGGGCACCUACCGCAUACAAAUAGCGGGGAUACAUACACUAAUCUGGGCACCUACCGCAUACAAAUAGCGGGGAUACAAAUGAACCACAGCGCCUAAAACUAUCCGAGUAUCAAAUGCGCACUAACAGCGUGGAUACAAAGUGCAACAGCUUCAAAAGCUAUCCGAAUAUGAAAUGCGCACUAACAGCGAGGAUACAAUGCGCAACAGCUUCAAAAGCUAUCUGAGUAUCAAAUGCGCACUAACAGCGUGGAUACAAGGCGCAACAGCUUCAGAAACUAAAUCUGAUAAUUUUCAGAAAGUGAAGUGUAGAAUCUAUAUGUUUUCUCCUAAGUCAAUUCCAAAUCCAACAUGUAAAAUUAUACUACUUGUUUAACUCCAAAUUCAGAUUUUAAACUUAAUCCAUGAAUUUGAGUACUAGCAAGAAAAUAACACAUGAUACAUGUUGACGAUAAAAAACCUAGGAGGUAAUCCGGCGAUUUCGGUAAAUUUCAACCUACCUCGAAAAGCUAAUCCACGACAGCGAGAAGUCGGAAGGAGAGGAAACACACACUCGCCCGGCCUCCAACGGAGCAACCGCGACGUCCACGCGCUAGAACAGCUCCCCGGCGCAACGUCGACGUCAAUCCGAACUCCACCCGAAGUCUCUACCAAGCACACCAUUAAUUAGAGAGAG